AGAGUUUGAUCCUGGCUCAGGAUGAACGCUGGCGGUCUGCUUAACACAUGCAAGUCGAACGGAGUAGAAAUACUUAGUGGCGGACGGGUGAGUAACGCGUGAGAAUCUGCCUUCAGGACGGAGACAACAGUUGGAAACGACUGCUAAGCCCCGAUGAACCGAAAGGGAAAAUAUUUAUAGCCUGAAGAUGAGCUCGCGUCCGAUUAGCUAGUUGGCGGAGUAAAAGCCCACCAAGGCGACGAUCGGUAGCUGGUCUGAGAGGACGAUCAGCCACACUGGGACUGAGACACGGCCCAGACUCCUACGGGAGGCAGCAGUGGGGAAUUUUCCGCAAUGGGCGAAAGCCUGACGGAGCAAGACCGCGUGGGGGAAGAAGGCUCUUGGGUUGUAAACCCCUUUUCUCUGGGAAGAAAGUUGUGAAAGCAACCUGACGGUACCAGAGGAAUCAGCAUCGGCUAACUCCGGGCCAGCAGCCGCGGUAAUACGGAGGAUGCAAGCGUUAUCCGGAAUGAUUGGGCGUAAAGCGUCCGCAGGUGGCAAUUCAAGUCUGCUGUUAAAGGUCGGGGCUCAACCCCGAAAUGGCGGUGGAAACUGAAUAGCUAGAGUGCGGUGGGGGCAGAGGGAAUUCCUGGUGUAGCGGUGAAAUGCGUAGAGAUCAGGAAGAACACCGGUGGCGAAAGCGCUCUGCUAGGCCGCAACUGACACUCAUGGACGAAAGCUAGGGGAGCGAAUGGGAUUAGAUACCCCUGUAGUCC
Molecule: ribosomal RNA, 755 nt
Filed under: uncultured cyanobacterium
Lineage: Bacteria; Bacillati; Cyanobacteriota
Description: bacterial SSU rRNA
Rfam family: Bacterial small subunit ribosomal RNA
Source: RNAcentral